This 407-nucleotide ribosomal RNA is filed under the name uncultured bacterium. Its description in RNAcentral is "partial 16S ribosomal RNA". It matches the Rfam family "Bacterial small subunit ribosomal RNA", at positions 30 to 526 of the family's 1533-position model. The record is from RNAcentral.
AUUGAACGCUGGCGGCAGGCCUAACACAUGCACGUCGAACGGAGUGGCGGACGGGUGAGUAAUGUCUGGGAAACUGCCUGAUGGAGGGGGAUAACUACUGGAAACGGUAGUUAAUACCGCAUACUACAAGAUGAGCCGAGGUCGGAUUAGCUAGUUGGUGGGGUAAAGGCCUACCAAGGCAACGAUCCGUAACUGGUCUGAGAGGAUGAUCAUGCACACUGGAACUGAGACACGGUCCAGACUCCUACGGGAGGCAGCAGUGUGGAAUAUUGGACAAUGGGCGAAAGCCUGAUCCAGCCAUGCCGCGUGGGUGAAGAAGGUCUUCGGAUUGUAAAGCACUUUAAGUUGGGAGGCGUUACCAACAGAAUAAGCACCGGCUAACUUCGUGCCAGCAGCCGCGGUAAUAC